RNAcentral lists this ribosomal RNA (253 nucleotides) under uncultured bacterium. RNAcentral's name for it is "partial 16S ribosomal RNA". It matches the Rfam family "Bacterial small subunit ribosomal RNA", at positions 524 to 776 of the family's 1533-position model. The record is from RNAcentral.
UACGAAGGGGGCUAGCGUUGCUCGGAUUGACUGGGCGUAAAGGGCGCGUAGGCGGUUCGUACAGUCAGACGUGAAAUCCUGGAGCUCAACUCCAGAACUGCCUUUGAUACUGAGGAUCUUGAGUUCGGGAGAGGUGAGUGGAACUGCGAGUGUAGAGGUGAAAUUCGUAGAUAUUCGCAAGAACACCAGUGGCGAAGGCGGCUCACUGGCCCGAUACUGACGCUGAGGCACGAAAGCGUGGGGAGCAAACAGG